Molecule: ribosomal RNA, 450 nt
Filed under: uncultured bacterium
Lineage: Bacteria
Description: partial 16S ribosomal RNA
Rfam family: Bacterial small subunit ribosomal RNA
Source: RNAcentral
GUGGGGAAUAUUGGACAAUGGGCGAAAGCCUGAUCCAGCCAUGCCGCGUGUGUGAAGAAGGUCUUCGGAUUGUAAAGCACUUUAAGUUGGGAGGAAGGGCAGUAAGUUAAUACCUUGCUGUUUUGACGUUACCGACAGAAUAAGCACCGGCUAACUUCGUGCCAGCAGCCGCGGUAAUACGAAGGGUGCAAGCGUUAAUCGGAAUUACUGGGCGUAAAGCGCGCGUAGGUGGUUUUGUAAGUUGGAGGUGAAAUCCCCGGGCUCAACCUGGGAACUGCCUCCAAAACUGCAUGACUAGAGUACGGUAGAGGGUAGUGGAAUUUCCUGUGUAGCGGUGAAAUGCGUAGAUAUAGGAAGGAACACCAGUGGCGAAGGCGACUACCUGGACUGAUACUGACGCUGAGGCGCGAAAGCGUGGGGAGCAAACAGGAUUAGAAACCCUUGUAGUCC